AUGAUUGAGUACUUUGGCACUGAUUCAAAAUUUCAGGAUCGCAGCCAAAAGAACACCGAUAACCGUAAGAAACAGAAGACAAAACACAUAAUUGGAUCAAAAUCUUACUCGCAAGUUAGUUUUGAAAAGAGAAACUUGGAAACUGGAGAAGAGCCAGAUUGUAUUGCUCUGUGGGAACUCACCCACACGAACGAUGGAACAUGGUCUAACAUAGAUUCCUAG
RNAcentral lists this ribosomal RNA (222 nucleotides) under Triticum aestivum (bread wheat). Its description in RNAcentral is "partial small subunit ribosomal RNA". Lineage: Eukaryota; Viridiplantae; Streptophyta; Magnoliopsida; Poales; Poaceae. The record is from RNAcentral.